GGGGGCUAUGAUGAACAAUAUUGUCCUGCAUUUUUUUAGCUGUAAUCUCUGUCCUGCCUCUGUUCAGUCCUGCCUUUUUUUUUUUUAGUUUAUCCUGAUUUUUUUUUACCUAAAUUGUCGUCCUGACUUUUUUUUUGUAAGUGUCUCAUCCUGCCUUUUUUUUACUAAAAACUCUUGUCCUGCCUAUUUUUUUCAAAUUUCAUCCUAG
This 208-nucleotide long non-coding RNA is filed under the name Mytilus galloprovincialis (Mediterranean mussel). Lineage: Eukaryota; Metazoa; Mollusca; Bivalvia; Mytilida; Mytilidae. The record is from RNAcentral.